Molecule: long non-coding RNA, 494 nt
Organism: Penaeus indicus
Lineage: Eukaryota; Metazoa; Arthropoda; Malacostraca; Decapoda; Penaeidae
Exons: 3
Source: RefSeq, a predicted model, not a curated record
GUACUCCCGCGAGACGCUCCGGGUGCUGGUCGUGGCAGGCAGGCUGAGGCAGCCAGUCUGCGGCGGGGCGACCCGGGGAGCAGACGGAUCGUCGACGGCACAGUGAGUGAGCGAAGUGAGCGAGUGAGAGCGAGAGCCAGUCGGAAGGACGAGAGUGUUCAGCGCCGAUCGAAACCGAAGAUUUUUGAAACAAUGCGUUAGAGAACACUUUGAGAGUUUUGUGCAGAAGGGCCCCCAGGCAAAGAAGGGCAACACCAGCCGGAGGACAGAGAGAACAAGCCCCGAGGAAAAUCGAUCACGAGAGGUUUGUGUGCAUUGCGUGGCCGUCGCUGAUUGCGGGAUCGUCAACGCCAGACACGAGCAUUUGUAGCUGCUUCUUAUCCCAUGGCUCGGCUCAGGUCACUUUAGGCUUCCUUAAUCAUCGAAGGUGACACAGAAGGAAAAUCUUGCUAUUGCUUUGACCUUUCCGGGUUGCACGCGAAGCCCGCCUUGUG